Molecule: small RNA, 565 nt
Filed under: Pongo abelii (Sumatran orangutan)
Lineage: Eukaryota; Metazoa; Chordata; Mammalia; Primates; Hominidae
Description: retained intron
Source: RNAcentral
AGAGCGGCAGCAAGAUGGCGGCGCAACAGCAGGAUGGCGGGGGUGCUGCGCAGCUGGCGGGGCCGGCGGCGGAGGUUGACCCCCUAGGACGCUUCACGUGUCCCGUGUGCUUAGAGGUGUACGAGAAGCCGGUACAGGUGCCCUGCGGACACGUCUUUUGCUCUGCAUGCCUGCAGGAAUGUCUGAAGCCGAAGAAGCCUGUCUGUGGGGUGUGUCGCAGCGCUCUGGCACCUGGCGUCCGAGCCAUGGAGCUCGAGCGGCAGAUCGAGAGCACAGAGACUUCUUGCCAUGGCUGCCGUAAGAAUGUAUGUGGAAGUGAUGUGGAAGAGUCCAUGUCUUUCCAUGAUAAGAUGGGGUAAAACGUACAGCUGCCAUGUUGUUGCUGAAGUUAGAGCAUGACUAGGUCACUAACAGCACGCGUGCAUGCCAGUUACCUGUGGUGAUGGCUGGGCUGGUUUGUUUUCAUAACCUUAGUGGUUUUUGUUUCUUUUUUUGAGAGUUGGUUAAGUAUAUAUUUUAGGUUUGAAAGCCAUAGAAAUCAGUUAUCCCAGUUUUUUCCUAUAAA